GUCCUCCAGCUGCGUUCGGACCCGUCGGAUCGUAAAUCCCAUGUAAGGUACCUGCCGUCGGAAGAUUUGAUCUUUCUACUUGGACACCUAAUACCCACAGUCCUCCAGACAGAAGGACAACAGGUACAAAGUCCUAAGGAUUAUAAAGGUAUGCUGCUUGCCAUCAUCUUAGUGACCAAGGCAGCGAAGCUGUUUCUGUACCUUGGAACAGUCUUCCCUGACAAGCCAGAGAACAGCGAUAAAGCCACCAGCCUUGGGAUCAGGACUGAAAAGGCAAGAGUGAUGGAGAUUUCUCCUGCGCUAAGCCAAGAGAAGGUUUCAGCACCUCAGACAGCUCCCACCGAAGUAGCGGCGCUCCCAGCUGCUUGCAGAUGUGGAAAAGGAAAGCCUCGGUUUGUCUUGAGGUUGUCAGCAGUUGCAAGACACGUAAUAAAAUGCAAUGUGUUCCUAAUUCAUU
This 457-nucleotide long non-coding RNA is filed under the name Homo sapiens (human). RNAcentral describes it as "non-protein coding lnc-PAXIP1-3:6". Lineage: Eukaryota; Metazoa; Chordata; Mammalia; Primates; Hominidae. The record is from RNAcentral.